AAGGAUACAUGUCAGUUUCUCAUUCUCAUUUUUCAUAGUUUUUGUAAGCUUUUCUUUUUUUGAUUAAUAAUUUCUAAGACUGCUUCCUCAAACAUUCUCCAGUUAAUCUCAGCACUGCGCAAUGUGCGGGUUACGCGUUAGCUACACGUGUGGUUCGUCAGAGAAGGACAAAUUCUGCAGAUAUCGGACGGAAUCAUAAAGCAAGAACUUCAAAUAUCUCUUUCUAAGCUUUAAAAAAAAAAAAAUAAAAAUCAGUUGUAAAAAUCUGACGAACCCUUGUUGGGAAGUUUGUUACUCCAUACUGGUUGAUUCAGAAAUGUGUUUUCUAACAAGAUGUAAAAAAAAAAAAAAAAAAAUGUAUUCAGCUGUAACGUUAAGACACGUGUUUCCGGUGUUUCCCAGUAUGCCUUCAGCCUUGUCCGUGUAUUUUUCUCUUUUAAAAUUCUGUCAGUGCCGGUGGUGCCAUGUGACGGCCAGCAGGGGGCGCUGGACUCUGGCGCACAGUCAGCAGGCAGACCUCUGAUUGCUUCCAGUUGUGGGACCCGCCAGGAUCGGAAUCACCUGGGGCACCGGAUGGCGUCGGGGGGCUUGCGC
RNAcentral lists this long non-coding RNA (594 nucleotides) under Scleropages formosus (Asian bonytongue). Its description in RNAcentral is "lncRNA (ENSSFOG00015028628.1)". The record is from RNAcentral. Lineage: Eukaryota; Metazoa; Chordata; Actinopteri; Osteoglossiformes; Osteoglossidae.